AUUCUGAGUUUGUGAUCGGACUUCAAGCAUAGACACAUUUGUCAUCACAAAGGAGCAAAAAUGUUAACUACCGAAGCGAAAGCAAAGAUCGUAGCCGAUUUCGGCCGC
This 108-nucleotide non-coding RNA is filed under the name uncultured Succinivibrio sp. RNAcentral describes it as "Ribosomal S15 leader". It matches the Rfam family "Ribosomal S15 leader", at positions 7 to 110 of the family's 117-position model. From Rfam's summary of the family: The E. coli Ribosomal S15 gene 5' UTR can form two alternative structures. The record is from RNAcentral. Lineage: Bacteria; Pseudomonadati; Pseudomonadota; Gammaproteobacteria; Aeromonadales; Succinivibrionaceae.